GGCAGCAGCCGCGGUAAUACGGAGGGUGCGAGCGUNAAUNGGAAUUACUGGGCGUAAAGCGCGCGUAGGUGGCUUGAUAAGCCGGUUGUGAAAGCCCCGGGCUCAACCUGGGAACGGCAUCCGGAACUGUCAGGCUAGAGUGCAGGAGAGGAAGGUAGAAUUCCCGGUGUAGCGGUGAAAUGCGUAGAGAUCGGGAGGAAUACCAGUGGCGAAGGCGGCCUUCUGGACUGACACUGACACUGAGGUGCGAAAGCGUGGGUAGCAAACAGGAUUAGAUACCCUGGUAGUCCACGCCGUAAACGAUGUCGACUAGCCGUUGGGAGCCUCGAGUUCUUAGUGGCGCAGUUAACGCGAUAAGUCGACCGCCUGGGGAGUACGGCCGCAAGGUUAAAACUCAAAUGAAUUGACGGGGGCCCGCACAAGCGGUGGAGCAUGUGGUUUAAUUCGAUGCAACGCGAAGAACCUUACCUACCCUUGACAUCGUGCGAACUUGGUAGAGAUACCUUGGUGCCUUCGGGAACGCACAGACAGGUGCUGCAUGGCUGUCGUCAGCUCGUGUUGUGAAAUGUUGGGUUAAGUCCCGUAACGAGCGCAACCCUUGUCCCUAUUUGCCAGCGAUUCGGUCGGGAACUCUAGGGAGACUGCCGGUGACAAACCGGAGGAAGGUGGGGACGACGUCAAGUCAUCAUGGCCCUUACGGGUAGGGCUACACGCGUGCUACAAUGGUCGGUACAAAGGGUUGCAAAGCGGCGACGUGGAACUAAUCCCAUAAUGCUGAUCUCAGUCCGGAUCGGAGUCUGCAACUCGACUCCGUGAAGUCGGAAUCGCUAGUAAUCGUGAAUCAGAAUGUCACGGUGAAUACGUUCCCGGGCCUUGCACACACCGCCCG
RNAcentral lists this ribosomal RNA (889 nucleotides) under bacterium enrichment culture clone NP30C9F. RNAcentral describes it as "bacterial SSU rRNA". It matches the Rfam family "Bacterial small subunit ribosomal RNA", at positions 507 to 1396 of the family's 1533-position model. The record is from RNAcentral.